This 910-nucleotide ribosomal RNA is filed under the name Dermacoccus sp. ADB_BD154. RNAcentral's name for it is "bacterial SSU rRNA". It matches the Rfam family "Bacterial small subunit ribosomal RNA", at positions 173 to 1098 of the family's 1533-position model. Lineage: Bacteria; Bacillati; Actinomycetota; Actinomycetes; Micrococcales; Dermacoccaceae. The record is from RNAcentral.
AUGACCAAUCACUGCAUGGUGUGUUGGUGGAAAGAUUUUUUGGUGGGGGAUGGACUCGCGGCCUAUCAGCUUGUUGGUGGGGUAAUAGCCUACCAAGGCGACGACGGGUAGCCGGCCUGAGAGGGCGACCGGCCACACUGGGACUGAGACACGGCCCAGACUCCUACGGGAGGCAGCAGUGGGGAAUAUUGCACAAUGGGCGAAAGCCUGAUGCAGCGACGCCGCGUGAGGGAUGACGGCCUUCGGGUUGUAAACCUCUUUCACCAGGGACGAAGCUAACGUGACGGUACCUGGAGAAGAAGCACCGGCUAACUACGUGCCAGCAGCCGCGGUAAUACGUAGGGUGCGAGCGUUGUCCGGAAUUAUUGGGCGUAAAGAGCUUGUAGGCGGUUUGUCGCGUCUGCUGUGAAAGACCGGGGCUUAACUCCGGUUCUGCAGUGGGUACGGGCAGACUAGAGUAUGGUAGGGGAGACUGGAAUUCCUGGUGUAGCGGUGAAAUGCGCAGAUAUCAGGAGGAACACCGAUGGCGAAGGCAGGUCUCUGGGCCAUUACUGACGCUGAGAAGCGAAAGCAUGGGGAGCGAACAGGAUUAGAUACCCUGGUAGUCCAUGCCGUAAACGUUGGGCGCUAGGUGUGGGGCUCAUUCCACGAGUUCCGUGCCGCAGCUAACGCAUUAAGCGCCCCGCCUGGGGAGUACGGCCGCAAGGCUAAAACUCAAAGGAAUUGACGGGGGCCCGCACAAGCGGCGGAGCAUGCGGAUUAAUUCGAUGCAACGCGAAGAACCUUACCAAGGCUUGACAUACACCGGAAUCAUGCAGAGAUGUGUGCGUCUUCGGACUGGUGUACAGGUGGUGCAUGGUUGUCGUCAGCUCCUGUCGGGGAGAUGUUGGGUUAAGUCCCGCAACGAGGG